Molecule: non-coding RNA, 277 nt
Organism: Salvia hispanica
Lineage: Eukaryota; Viridiplantae; Streptophyta; Magnoliopsida; Lamiales; Lamiaceae
Source: RefSeq, a predicted model, not a curated record
CUAAGUCAAGGACAUAAGCAAGAUAUCUCUGAAGGACUGAAGCAUGAAUGGUGGUGAUUGGGGGCUUUGGAGUCGGCUACUGUAAUUAUGUAUCGUUGCUUCUCUACUAUUGAGAACGCCGUUCAUGAAUCCCGGUUUCCUGCACAGGAAUUUGAACAGGAGUUGUGCCUUGUCAAUUUCUCUUGCCUUCACUCCUUUUGUAUUAGGUGGUGCAUGUAAUUUUGAUGGUCCCUUUUUACAAUAUUUAUUUAUUUAAUUGAUUUUGGGGGUUCUUCAA